UGUGAGCUAAAGGGAGGAAGGAUAAAUACACAUCAUCCACAGUCAUCUACACGAAGUAAAAUAUGUGUUACAUUACAUAUAAUUAAUUUCAGCUUAUGAAUUAAUUAAAGAAGAUUAAGGAUACCACCUUGUCCUCAAAUUGUUCCAUGAAAAGAUCCAUUCCUCUUACUAAAGCUAGUACGUUUUCAUGUGUUAAAACAACGCCUUUAGGAUCUCCACUAGUUCCACUUGUAUACAUUAUUGUGCAUAUGUCAUGAGCCAAAGGAGGAUUAAUACUUGACGGGUUUUCUUUUCCCUGUAAGACUAGACUAAUGGACCCAAAACUUUGGCGCUUCGGAUUGAAAAAGAUCUUCAAAUCAAAAUCAUCAACUCAAAGGGAACAAUAGAGCAUUGAAUU
Molecule: long non-coding RNA, 397 nt
Filed under: Medicago truncatula (barrel medic)
Lineage: Eukaryota; Viridiplantae; Streptophyta; Magnoliopsida; Fabales; Fabaceae
Description: lncRNA gene4994
Source: RNAcentral